Molecule: long non-coding RNA, 566 nt
Organism: Sinocyclocheilus grahami
Lineage: Eukaryota; Metazoa; Chordata; Actinopteri; Cypriniformes; Cyprinidae
Exons: 4
Source: RefSeq, a predicted model, not a curated record
GAUAAUGAUCGGUCCGACAAUGAGCUGGAUGAAAAUGAACCUGUUAUUCCCAGAGACACCUCAUACAGGAGAGCCUCAGCUGUGAAGGCCAAGUACACGUUUGACUUCUCUGAGGAGGAGGAAGAGGAGGACGGUGAUGAAGAACAGGAGAAUGAUGCUUCAGCGUCACCUGUUCGCUCCAGUAAAGACACAGAGCAACACAACGACGAUGAAGAUGAUGACGAUGACAUUUCCCCUCCAAUAACAACAUUUACUAAUUUGUCCACUUCACCAGCGAAGAAGAAGGAUCCAGAGACGGUGUUGUCAUCUAAAGCUACCUUUGCUGACAAGAGCAGCGAUGACGAUGUGAAGUCAGACAGCGAUGAUGACAGGGGUCCAGUGUUCUCAUCAUAUUCCAGCAGUUCUGCUUUUGACAAACCUCCAGCUAAAAAAGGUACAACAUGAAAGUGAAAAGUCAACAUGAACUCAAAAUGUUAAUUUAUGUGUUCUACAUGUUAUUGUGAACAACUCAUCAGUGGCAAAGAAAAAUUCAGUAGGAUAUAUCAGUUUACAUUUCCAAACAUUCA